AAUGAACGCUGGCGGCAGGCCUAACACAUGCAAGUCGAGCGGACGUAGCAAUACGUUAGCGGCGCACGGGAGAGUAACACGUGGGAACCUACCUUUUGGUUCGGAAUAACGUCGGGAAACUGGCGCUAAUACCGGAUGAUCCCUAUGGGGGAAAGAUUUAUCGCCGAAAGAUGGGCCCGCGUUAGAUUAGCUUGUUGGUGAGGUAAUGGCUCACCAAGGCUACGAUCUAUAGCUGGUCUGAGAGGAUGACCAGCCUCACUGGGACUGAGACACGGCCCAGACUCCUACGGGAGGCAGCAGUGGGGAAUAUUGGACAAUGGGGGAAACCCUGAUCCAGCCAUGCCGCGUGAAUGAUGAAGGCCUUCGGGUUGUAAAGUUCUUUUGGUAGGGACGAUG
RNAcentral lists this ribosomal RNA (396 nucleotides) under uncultured Alphaproteobacteria bacterium. Its description in RNAcentral is "bacterial SSU rRNA". It matches the Rfam family "Bacterial small subunit ribosomal RNA", at positions 29 to 450 of the family's 1533-position model. Lineage: Bacteria; Pseudomonadati; Pseudomonadota; Alphaproteobacteria. The record is from RNAcentral.